RNAcentral lists this long non-coding RNA (4915 nucleotides) under Capsicum annuum. RNAcentral describes it as "long non-coding RNA (CANN_LNC008351)". The record is from RNAcentral. Lineage: Eukaryota; Viridiplantae; Streptophyta; Magnoliopsida; Solanales; Solanaceae.
UUUUUCGCCUCUCACUUUUCAAAACACUGGGUUUAACACAAUUGCCUUACAUUUGUCGCCUACAUUUAACAUCGUAAAGUCUAAAUUUGUACAUAAAUUAAUGAUUUCCAAACCUCACAAUCAAUUAAUCACCAUGCCUCAAACUCAACAACGACGACAACAUAUCCAGUGUAUUCCCACAAAGUGGGUCUAGGGAGGGUAAAGUGUACACAGUCCAUACCACUACCUUAGAUGUAGUAGAGAGGCUGUUUUCGAUAGAUCCCCAAGUCAUGACAGAUAACAGUAUAACAAACAAAAAAAUAUAAAAGCACACAACAAAAAAAUAACACUGCUAGAUAAUAAAGAAAACAAGACACCCACAAGGUAAUACUAUAAAAUCAUAUACAUCACCGAAAACACUACGAACAAGUAACUCCAGGUGCAGAUACAAACCAGGCACUCAUCCUUACUAACACGGCCGAACUCCUAUCCACUAACCCUCUACCCUUAUUCGAGUCCUUCACACUUUUCUAUCAAGGGUUAUGUUCUCCGUAAGCUGUAACUGCUCCAUAUCAUGCCUAAUCACCUCCUCCAAUAUUUCUUCGGCCUAUCUUUACCCUGCCUAAAACCAUCCAUAGACAACCACUUACACCUCCGUACUGGAGUAUCCGUGCACCUCCUCGUCACAUGCCCGAACCAUAUAACCUCACUUCCCGCAUCUCGGACUAUAUAGAUCUUCUAUUACCAUGACAAUAUUCUAUAUUAUAAGUGUGUUCUAUUUGGACUGAUAUUUUUUAGAAGGUAAAGUAAUUUAUAAAUUAGAUCAGCACAAAGGAUGUGCUAUUAAGACUGUACCAUUAGCAAAAGAACAAACAACAAAAGCUUGUCCUGUCUAAUCUUUUAAGGAGUCUACUAAUCUUGUAAGGAGUCUACUGUUUGUAGAACUGUUUCAGCCCCAUAUACAUGUUCCAUCCUAUACCAUAAGAAAAACAAAAUAUACAAUUCGACUUUGUCUUGUUGGUGGAGCUCACAUAAUCUUCAAACAUCUUCUAUUUGGGCUAACUUUUUUAGAAUGCUAAAUAUUUCUCUUUUAGGGCAUAUUUCUUUUGGACAUGGUACUGUAUUUAUAUACAAGUAAUUAUCAGCAUUAAAAUGCUGGAAUCCAAAAGGGUAUUUACAACAUCCUUGUUCUUCUUACGAGGAGCCUAACACUUCUAAAAUUACAUCAUGACUAUCUAUAUUUUUGGAUUUACACCAAAACCCAAAAAGAAGAAUGCAUUUAUAUUUAAUCUUCUACAAAGAGCAGCUUGUAUCUUCGAAGAAUGUAGAGUUCCCCUCUUUCCAAAUUGUCCACUAGAUGCUUGCCGGGACAAUUUUCCAUCUGUAUCUGUUGCCACUGUUUCCUUCAGUCCAGCUUGCCAGAGAUUAAUAGUGCUGCCUGGCAUUGUUCACCUGAAACCUUUCAAAUUUAUGAGCAUAUCCCAUAUAAAAACAGAUGUUUAGUUGUCUUGUCUCUGCCUCCUUUCGUAGAUAACAUCUUGAACGUAGGUGAAUUCCCCACUUUCUAAGAUUCUCCUGAUUCAUGGCAUAUUAGGAGUUCUUUAGAAUGAGUAUAAGAAUCUUUCUGAAUAUUCUAGAAUAUAUGUAAAUGUAAAAGGUAGCUUAAUUUCCUCCUAUUGUAAUUAGGUAUUGACAUGCCUAUCCCUGAAUUCACAUAUAUGCUAACCAGACUAUAAAGUCCUUUAAAGGACUAAUCACAUUAUGGGAAAUUUAGGAGAUUUUUACACAAUGCCCCUUAAGUUUGGGGUAAGUCCAUUUUGUCCCUUAAAAUAUCACAAUGGAGCAUAUUUAGCCUUUAAAGUUCUCUAAAAUUUUGUACUUCUAAUCUCGUUUAGCUGAAUGUCUAACUUUGUUUGUUAAAACUGAUGGAAGAGUUGCUUUUAUAGCCUCAACUCUGCUGUUUUUGAAGAAAAUAACCAAAAACCCCUUGCUUCAUUUGCCUAUCAACAAAGUGUCACACAAUCCUUCAUGUAAUUUACAUGACAGAACUAUGCACCUCUUCCACCACACCAGUUCUAAAAUUAUUUUUAGUCAUCUUUACAUUUCUUCUUGCUCUAUAUAAAUUCAUUCACAGGGAACUUUUACACAUACAGGGCAACAUGACGAGAAAUAUAUACAUAUAUACACCAAGUAGAAAGAGCUUUGCAAUUUUCAUAUACCCAACUCAUAUUCUUAUCACACCGUGAGAGCGCACUAGCCAAAUACUUAUACAUUCUCUCAUCCCAAAAAAAUGACAUACAUUUUGCUUUCCCUCACUCUUUUUCUCCAUAGCAUAACAAUAGAGACAACAAGAGCUUACUAGAGUGACAAUUGGUGCCCACUUUCUCCCUAGUUGCAGAGUUUAUCUGUCACGUUCAAGUGGAGAGCUGAUAUAAGAACACAUUCAUCCACAUACCCACACCCAUACAAGCUCAGUCAAGAAAACAUAUGCACAUCUCACCAUAGUACAACACACAAAUGCACCACUACAAAAACAAAGUGUCAACUUUGACACUCAUUAAUAUAUCUUUAGAGAUGAGUAUACGAUGAGCUUAUCCAUUGCUUGUGAUUUUUCCAUUUGACAUGCCUUAUAUGACUCCUCAAACAAACAAAAUUUGUUAUUAAAUUAAAAAAGGCCAAAAGUGCUCAAGUUUAUAUUUAGGGACAUAAAUAGACCUAUCCACAACGUUUGUGACCACGUGAUUUGUCGGCUCAGAGUGGUUUCGACAAUGGUGUUGCUUUCGAUCUAUAUGCAUUUCACGCUCCUCUAGAAAUUUCCUUUGCCCCUACCAACCCCUUAAACAAGAAUUCUAGAAUAACUAACAAAUUCUAGAAUAACAAACAACAAUAUUCAUGAUCAAAAAGUACCAAAUUCUCUUUUGGAUUGGCGCAGAAAGAAGAAAGAAGUUUGGCAUGCCAAUGGAAGCCUAGUAUAUUGAAUUUACCCGAUAAUCUCCAUUGUGGGAUGUCCUGGGACUUUGAAUGGGUAAGUCCAAAAUGUCAAUUUCUUUUGACCCAAUUUUUUUCUCUCCUUAUCACCCUAAAAAGACAAUCUAAGAGACCUUAAAUUCAAGCGUUCUUUUUGUGGGUGUUUGUCGUCGAUUCAAUCAGGAGAUCGAAUUGAUUAUAAAAUGCGAGUUUAAUCAAAUGACUUAUUAGUGAACAAGAAAAAAUAUUAUCAAGACGAGUGAAUUAAUUGACCUUGAAUAACAGUGGUUAAUUCCUUGAAAAAAGAGGGGCUCAACCUACCAGAACUAUGGAUGAGAACCAACUUUGUAGGAUCUGUAUCUAGAAUUCAAGUAUUGUAUACGUCAUUGGUCUAAUCCUUUAUAGGAACUCUCCAUAAUAACGAACUUGCAAAAUGGAUAUGUUAUAAACUCGUUAUCUUUAUGUGAUCAUCAACCUAGCAUAACUUCUUUCUUUCAUUCGGGUUUGGAAUCAGUAUUCGAAACUCCCAUAGGCAAAGUUGUUUCCCGAACUCCCAACAAUGACAUACCCAAUGAAAUCCGACAAGUUGGGAGACACACGUAUCUCACCCUUAACUCAUAGAGGUAGAGAGGUUGUUUCCAAAGGACCCAUGACUCGUGUACCAAAUCAAAGUAGUAAAGAAAAUGAAAAAUGACAGUGAAGAAAACACGACAAUCAAUAGAAAAGCAGUGUAGAGCAUUCAGGAAAGUGGAACAAUAUUAUCAACAAAAUAGUGUGAUCACCGAAACACUAUAAGCAACAAAUGGUAACAUAUAACCAAAGCAAGAAACUACAUGAAUAAGACUAAUAUUAUGACAGGCACAAUGCUCUAGAGUACCACCGUUAAUGUUUUUAAAUUUUGUACUAAAUAGCGCUUUAAUGGAAAAAAGCGUGCGCUUCGCUUCUCGCUUCUGUGAAGCGAGCCCUCGUCUCUUUUUUUCGCCUCUCACUUUUCAAAACACUGGGUUUAACACAAUUGCCUUACAUUUGUCGCCUACAUUUAACAUCGUAAAGUCUAAAUUUGUACAUAAAUUAAUGAUUUCCAAACCUCACAAUCAAUUAAUCACCAUGCCUCAAACUCAACAACGACGACAACAUAUCCAGUGUAUUCCCACAAAGUGGGUCUAGGGAGGGUAAAGUGUACACAGUCCAUACCACUACCUUAGAUGUAGUAGAGAGGCUGUUUUCGAUAGAUCCCCAAGUCAUGACAGAUAACAGUAUAACAAACAAAAAAAUAUAAAAGCACACAACAAAAAAAUAACACUGCUAGAUAAUAAAGAAAACAAGACACCCACAAGGUAAUACUAUAAAAUCAUAUACAUCACCGAAAACACUACGAACAAGUAACUCCAGGUGCAGAUACAAACCAGGCACUCAUCCUUACUAACACGGCCGAACUCCUAUCCACUAACCCUCUACCCUUAUUCGAGUCCUUCACACUUUUCUAUCAAGGGUUAUGUUCUCCGUAAGCUGUAACUGCUCCAUAUCAUGCCUAAUCACCUCCUCCAAUAUUUCUUCGGCCUAUCUUUACCCUGCCUAAAACCAUCCAUAGACAACCACUUACACCUCCGUACUGGAGUAUCCGUGCACCUCCUCGUCACAUGCCCGAACCAUAUAACCUCACUUCCCGCAUCUCGGACUAUAUAGAUCUUCUAUUACCAUGACAAUAUUCUAUAUUAUAAGUGUGUUCUAUUUGGACUGAUAUUUUUUAGAAGGUAAAGUAAUUUAUAAAUUAGAUCAGCACAAAGGAUGUGCUAUUAAGACUGUACCAUUAGCAAAAGAACAAACAACAAAAGCUUGUCCUGUCUAAUCUUUUAAGGAGUCUACUAAUCUUGUAAGGAGUCUACUGUUUGUAGAACUGUUUCAGCCCCAUAUACAUGUUCCAUCCUAUACCAUAAGAAAAACAAAAUAUACAAUUCGACUUUGUCUU